AAAUGAAAUGGAAGAUGGAGGAGGAGGAGGAAGCUAGGCGGGUGUCCCCUUUCUCCCUUACCACUCUAUGUGUGUCCCUCUCAAAGCCGUGCCCUCGGUGGAAGAGAACAACCUUCCCCAACAGAAGAGGAUGGUUCUUCAGUCAAUGGCAUAAGAGUAGCUUUACUCUCCUGCACUUCUAUCUAAAGAAGUUGGCGGGGAGGAGAAAUAAUAAAGAGUUUACGGAGUAAAGGCAAGCUAGAGAAAAGCGUAAUGGGCUUGCAUCAUCU
Molecule: small RNA, 269 nt
Filed under: Castor canadensis (American beaver)
Lineage: Eukaryota; Metazoa; Chordata; Mammalia; Rodentia; Castoridae
Description: 7SK RNA (ENSCCNG00000023119.1)
Rfam family: 7SK RNA
About the family: 7SK was discovered as an abundant small nuclear RNA in the mid-70s but a possible function has only recently been suggested. Two independent studies have found that 7SK RNA binds the CDK9/cyclin T complex (known as elongation factor P-TEFb). P-TEFb activates transcription by phosphorylating the C-terminal domain of RNA polymerase II.
Source: RNAcentral